RNAcentral lists this small nuclear RNA (143 nucleotides) under Daphnia pulicaria. Its description in RNAcentral is "U4 spliceosomal RNA". It matches the Rfam family "U4 spliceosomal RNA". Rfam says of the family: U4 small nuclear RNA (U4 snRNA) is a component of the major U2-dependent spliceosome. The structure of U4 snRNA from yeast and human has been reported. U4 snRNA presents a k-turn RNA motif in the 5p-SL related to recognition of Snu13 protein. The record is from RNAcentral. Lineage: Eukaryota; Metazoa; Arthropoda; Branchiopoda; Diplostraca; Daphniidae.
AGCUUUGCGCAGUGGCAAUAUCAUAACCAAUGAGGGUCUCCCGAGGUGUGAUUAUUGCUAGUUGAAAAACUUUAACCAAUACCCCGCCACGAUGAAGUGAAAUAAUCUUUGUCGUCGGCAAUUUUUGAUAGCUCCAUCAGGAG